UUGAAGACGACGACGUUGAUAGGCCGGGUGUGUAAGCGCAGCGAUGCGUUGAGCUAACCGGUACUAAUGAACCGUGAGGCUUAACCUUA
Molecule: ribosomal RNA, 89 nt
Filed under: Klebsiella quasipneumoniae
Lineage: Bacteria; Pseudomonadati; Pseudomonadota; Gammaproteobacteria; Enterobacterales; Enterobacteriaceae
Description: 23S rRNA. Bacterial LSU
Rfam family: Bacterial large subunit ribosomal RNA
Source: RNAcentral